Molecule: long non-coding RNA, 3091 nt
Organism: Pan troglodytes (chimpanzee)
Lineage: Eukaryota; Metazoa; Chordata; Mammalia; Primates; Hominidae
Exons: 2
Source: RefSeq, a predicted model, not a curated record
AAAUGACUUCUUAUCAAUCUUGUUGGAUUUUUUUCCUGCUAGAUCAAACCUGUUGUUGGACUUUCUAGUGACUCUCUAAAUUCAGGCUGGACACGGUGGCUGAUGCCUGUAAUCCUAGCACUGUGGGAGGCCAAGGUGAGUGGAUCAUGAGGUCAGGAGAUCGAGACCAUCCUGGACAGCAUAAUGAAACCCGGUCUCUACUGAAAAUACAAAAGUUAGCCGGGCGUGGUGGCAUGUGCCUAUAGUCCCAGCUACUCCGGUGGCUGAGGCAGAAUAAUUCCUUGAACCUGGGAGGUGGAGGUUGUAGUGAGCUGAGAUCAUGCCACUGCACUCCAGCCUGGGAAACAGAGUGAGACUUCAUCUAAAAAAAAAAAAAAAAAAAUUACCAUUAAUAGGCACCUAGGUUGAUUUAUGACUUUCCUAUUAUAAAUAAUGCAGCGAUGAACCAACAAGUGCAUGUGCUAUAUUGGUAGAAUAAUUUAUUGUCUUUCUGGUAUAUACACAGUGGAGAAAUUGCUGGGUUGAAUCAUAGUUCAAUUCUCAGUUAUUUGGAAAAUCUCCAAGCUGCUCUCCACAGUGGCUGAACUAAUUUAUAUUCCUAUUAACACUGUAUCAGUGGUUUUUUUCCCUCUAAAAUCUCAUCAACAACUACUAUCAUUUUACUUUUUAACAAAAGCCAUUCUAACUGUUGUAUGAUGGUGUCUUAUUGUGGUUUUUAUUUACAUUUCCUUGAUGGUUAGUGAUGAUAAUAUUUUUUCACGUUAUUUGGCUACUUGUAUGUAUUCUUUUGAACAGUGUCUGUUAUUGUCCACUUUUUCAUGGGGUAAUUUUUUGCUUGUGAAUUCUUUAAGUUUCUUAUAGAUUCUGAGUAUUAGAUUUUGUCAGGUUCAUUGGUUGUGAAAAUUUUUCCCAUUCUGCUAGCUUUGGGGUUAGUUUGUUUUUAUUUUUCUAGUUUCUCUAAGUGUGAUGUUAAAUUGUUAGUUUGAGAUCUUUCCAACUUCUUGAUGCAGGUAUUUAGCACUCUCAACUUUCCUCUUAACAGUGCUUUCCCUACAACCCAGACAUUUUGGUAAAUUGUGUCUCUUAAUUUAUUUCAAAAUUUUUUUAAAGUUUCUGCCUUAAUUUUGUUAUUUACCCAAAAUUCACUCAGGAGCAAGUUGUUUAAUUUCAAUGUCAUUCUGUGAUUUUGUGAGAUUUUCUUGGUAUUGAUUUUUAUCUUUGUUCCAUUGUGGCCUGACAGUAUGGUUGGCAUAAUUUUCAUUUUUAAAAAAUGUAUGGAUAAUUGCUUUAUGGCUAGGAAGUGGUCAAUCCUAGAGUAUAUUCUGUGAGUGAUGAGAAGAAUUUAUGUUCCUUAGAUGAUGUGUGGCUUAGCUAUAAGUGUCUAUUAGUUUCAAUUGAUCAAGCCUGAAAUCAAACUCCAGAAUUUCUUUGUUAAGUUUCUGCCUAGAUAAUCUGACAAACACUGUUAGUGGGGAGUUGCAUUCUCCUACUAUUAUUGUGUGGCUACUUGAGUCUUAUUGUAGGUCUAGCAGUACUUGUAUAACUCUAUGUUCCCCAAAGUUGGGUGCAUCUACAUUUAGGAUAGUUAAGUCUUCUUGUUGAAUUGAACCCUUUAUCAUUAUGCAAUGCCUUUCUUUGUUUUAUUUUACUAUUAAUGAUUUAAAGUCCUUUUUUCUUAAAAGAGAAACAAUUCCAGGUAUGGUGGCUCAUCCCAGCACUUUCAGACUGAGGCAGUAGGAUUGCCUGAGACCAGGAGUUUGAGACCAACUGAGGCAACAUAACAACAUUCUGUUUGUACAAAUUUUUUUAAAGAAACUACACAGGUGUGGUAGUGUGCAGAACUGUGGUCAUAUUUACUCAGGAGACAUAGGCGGCAUGACUGCUUGACUUCAGAAAUUUGUGGUUACAGUGAGCUGUGAUUGCACCACUUCACUCUGUCCCAGGAUAUAGAGUAAGAUCCUGUGUAUAAAAUGAAAAAAUAAAGAAAAAUAAAAUUAUUUUAAGUUAAAAAUAAAUUCAUAGAUCUCCACUUCUUUUGGUUCUCUUGAAUAUAUAUUUUUCUCAUUAGAUUAGGCUAUAUUUCCUGGUUGCUUUUACAUACUGUGGUUUUGUUAAGGUUUUGGUCAAUUAAGAAACCACUACCUAUUUUAUCCUUUAUGAAAUAGCUUUGUACAUGGGAAAAUUGACAACAUUCUGCCACACUAGUCAUUCUGGGAGCUUCUCCAAUCUGUUGUCAAAAUGUGUCUUCGUUGGACUAGUGUAUGUAUUUUCGUGUUAAUAAGGUUUACCUCUGUUUCCUUUUAGGAGCCUUUAGCCUCUUCCCUUUGUCACUGUUACAGGCACUACCAUCUCUGUUGUUGUAAGAAAUAUUUAUCUUUAUUCUCAGUUGACCCAAGCUGUCAUUUAAACUCUAUCUCUAUUCUGGUCAACAUUAAAUGUUAAAGGAAGCAAUAUCCAGUCUUUGGAGAACCCCGGUAUGACUCAAUAAGUCAGAAGUUUGCAUACACAUUUCACCCUUUUUUCUUUCCCGAGGGAGAAUCAUAGAAUGGACAGAUUUUUAUCUAACUGCACUGUUCUGUAGUGCACAAAUGUAACCAAAUUUUCUUUCUUCUAAAUGUGGUUAUGGUUGGCUUUUUUCUGAUGUGGGGUGCUACAAACUCAACUGGCUUUGCUCGCCCAAUUGUAGUUAAGUUCAUACAUCCAUUGAGAGAAACAGGAUCUCAGGUUCUGCUUCAACUGUCAUUGUGUUCUCAGCUGGCCUCAUUUUGUACAUUCGAUUUAUAAAAUAUAUUUUCCUUAAUCUCAUAACCGAAUUUUUAAAAAAAUUAAUAUUUUUCAGCUCUUUUAGCAUUAUAUCCAACCAAGACCCAGAGAAAACAGUACAUAGAAGCUUCUUUUCAAAAAGUACUAUUGGGAAGAUCUGGGAGCCCUGGCCUUGAAAAUUUACACGUAAGGAAAGUGGGAAAUUGAAGGAUAAGUGUAAAGGGCACAAAGGAUGUUAUGAUGAAUAUACCAGAUAUACAGCAAUUACCUACAGCAAAAAUGUCACUGCUAGAAGAGCUCAAAACCAUAAAGUAUUUUGGAAAAAGCA